This 360-nucleotide long non-coding RNA is filed under the name Nicotiana tabacum (common tobacco). RNAcentral describes it as "long non-coding RNA (NTAB_LNC001905)". The record is from RNAcentral. Lineage: Eukaryota; Viridiplantae; Streptophyta; Magnoliopsida; Solanales; Solanaceae.
ACGAGCUACAAGAAGUGCAGGUAAAUAAAAGCAUGUCCCUUGAUCAAAUUCUGUCUGUAUCAGAAAAUUAACAAUGAGGAGUUUAGGUUGAAAGAGAAGCAAAAUUUGAAGAGUGGUUGGGAGGAUGGGCAAUCAUAAUGCUGGUCCUGGAGAAGAAGAUAAUUAACAGUAAAGGGCUUUAGCUUGAUAUAGCUUUGAACCUGAAACAAUUCUUUUUCUCUGGAAGGGACUUCACUUGUACCAUGUUUGACGGAUCUUUGUACUAAAACCGGAAAUGUGAAAAUGAGAGAUUAUCACAGUGUUCAAAGGAGAAGGGAAAAAGAAGCUUGAAUCUACAAUUUAUUCUAAUUGUCUUUGUAC